RNAcentral lists this ribosomal RNA (428 nucleotides) under uncultured archaeon. RNAcentral describes it as "bacterial SSU rRNA". It matches the Rfam family "Archaeal small subunit ribosomal RNA", at positions 474 to 903 of the family's 1478-position model. The record is from RNAcentral.
CACCAGCCCCUCGAGUGGUGGGGAUGAUUAUUUGGCCUAAAGCGUCCGUAGCCGGCUGUACAAGUCUCCCGUUAAACUCAACGUCUCAAGCGUUGGCAUGCGAGAGAUACUGUAUAGCUAGAGGGUGGGAGAGGUCAGCGGUAUUCCUGGGGUAGGGGCGAAAUCCUUUGAUCCCAGGAGGACCACCAGUGGCGAAGGCUGCUGACUAGAACACGCCUGACGGUCAGGGACGAAAGCUGGGGUAGCGAACCGGAUUAGAUACCCGGGUAGUCCCAGCCGUAAACGAUGCAUGCUAGGUGUUGGGUUGGCCACGAGCCACCCCAGUGCCGCAGGGAAGCCGUUAAGCAUGCCGCCUGGGAAGUACGAUCGCAAGAUUGAAACUUAAAGGAAUUGGCGGGGAGCACCACCAGGCGUGAAGCCUGCGGUUU